AGGUGAUAGAAAGUUCACCGUACAUUUUGUCAACGACUGCUUUGAGGAGGAAUAAAUAGUUUUCUUCAUUUGAUACUGUGUAUUUUUUCCUCUAAGCAACUCG
This 103-nucleotide ribosomal RNA is filed under the name uncultured Ascogregarina. RNAcentral describes it as "partial 5.8S ribosomal RNA". The record is from RNAcentral. Lineage: Eukaryota; Apicomplexa; Conoidasida.